Molecule: ribosomal RNA, 253 nt
Filed under: uncultured bacterium
Lineage: Bacteria
Description: partial 16S ribosomal RNA
Rfam family: Bacterial small subunit ribosomal RNA
Source: RNAcentral
UACGUAGGGUGCGAGCGUUGUCCGGAUUUAUUGGGCGUAAAGAGCUUGUAGGCGGCUCGUCGCGUCGGGUGUGAAAACUUGCGGCUUAACCGCAAGCCUGCACCCGAUACGGGCGGGCUAGAGUUCGGCAGGGGAGACUGGAAUUCCUGGUGUAGCGGUGGAAUGCGCAGAUAUCAGGAAGAACACCCGUGGCGAAGGCGGCUCUCUGGGACGGUACUGACGCUGAGACGCGAAAGCGUGGGGAGCGAACAGG